Molecule: non-coding RNA, 130 nt
Organism: Suillus americanus
Lineage: Eukaryota; Fungi; Basidiomycota; Agaricomycetes; Boletales; Suillaceae
Source: the annotation of a GenBank genome assembly
GGCCGACUAGCUCAGUUGGUUAGAGCGUCGUGCUAAUACGAUUCGUUCGUAAGAAUGUGGUUGGCAGCUUCACACUCUUACCGACGUACUCGAUACGCGAAGGUCUUGGGUUCGAUCCCCACGUUGGCCA